This 560-nucleotide ribosomal RNA is filed under the name uncultured bacterium. RNAcentral describes it as "bacterial SSU rRNA". It matches the Rfam family "Bacterial small subunit ribosomal RNA", at positions 776 to 1333 of the family's 1533-position model. The record is from RNAcentral.
CAAUAGAUACCCGGGUAGUCCACGCCGUAAAACGAUGAGUGCUAAGUGUUAGGGGGUUUCCGCCCCCUUAGUGCUGCAGCUAACGCAUUAAGCACUCCGCCUGGGGAGUACGGUCGCAAGACUGAAACUCAAAGGAAUUGACGGGGGCCCGCACAAGCGGUGGAGCAUGUGGUUUAAUUCGAAGCAACGCGAAGAACCUUACCAGGUCUUGACAUCCCAUUGACCACUAUGGAGACAUAGUUUUCCCUUCGGGGACAACGGUGACAGGUGGUGCAUGGUUGUCGUCAGCUCGUGCCGUGAGAUGUUGGGUUAAGUCCCGCAACGAGCGCAACCCUUGUUCUUAGUUGCCAUCAUUUAGUUGGGCACUCUAAGGAGACUGCCGGUGACAAACCGGAGGAAGGUGGGGAUGAACGUCAAAGUCAUCAUGCCCCUUAUGACCUGGGCUACACACGUGCUACAAUGGACGGUACAAACGGUUGCCAACCCGCGAGGGGGUAGCUAAUCCGAUAAAACCGUUCUCAGUUCGGAUUGUAGGCUGCAACUCGCCUACAUGAAGGACC